GCCUACUGCCAUAGCACCCUUAACACGCCCAAUCUCAUCUGAUAUCGGAAGCUAAGCAGGGUCGGGCCCGGUUAGUACACGUAUGGGAGAGCGCCUGGGAAUACCAGUUGUAGACU
RNAcentral lists this ribosomal RNA (116 nucleotides) under Cebus imitator (Panamanian white-faced capuchin). The record is from RNAcentral. Lineage: Eukaryota; Metazoa; Chordata; Mammalia; Primates; Cebidae.